CAAACAAAAGUUCAACGUCCUGUAACAUAACUAUGUCAAAGUUAAAGGUUCCAUGUUUGG
Molecule: transfer RNA, 60 nt
Filed under: Paraleius leontonychus
Lineage: Eukaryota; Metazoa; Arthropoda; Arachnida; Sarcoptiformes; Scheloribatidae
Description: tRNA-Asp(gtc)
Source: RNAcentral